AUCAUUUCUCGGCCUUUUGGCUAAGAUCAAGUGUAGAAUAUGGUCUUUUUAGAUUCUACAAAUAAGUGAGAUCGUAUAGUAUUUGUCCUCUAUCUGACUUAUGUCACUUAACAUUUGCCUUCAAGGUCCAUCCACAUUGUCACAAGUGACAAGAUUUUGAUUCAGGGGUCACUUUAGCUCAGUGGUCAGGAUACAGACA
Molecule: small nuclear RNA, 199 nt
Gene: U2
Rfam family: U2 spliceosomal RNA
About the family: U2 is a small nuclear RNA (snRNA) component of the spliceosome (involved in pre-mRNA splicing). Complementary binding between U2 snRNA (in an area lying towards the 5' end but 3' to hairpin I) and the branchpoint sequence (BPS) of the intron results the bulging out of an unpaired adenosine, on the BPS, which initiates a nucleophilic attack at the intronic 5' splice site, thus starting the first of two transesterification reactions that mediate splicing.
Source: Ensembl